This 1002-nucleotide long non-coding RNA is filed under the name Durio zibethinus. Its description in RNAcentral is "long non-coding RNA (DZIB_LNC000448)". Lineage: Eukaryota; Viridiplantae; Streptophyta; Magnoliopsida; Malvales; Malvaceae. The record is from RNAcentral.
AUUUUUUCUUAUUUUCCUUUUCUCUCUCUCUCUUUUUUCUCCCUCUUUACUAGAGCUUUUCUCUCCUCUAUGAUUUUCGACCACCAUUGCUAGAUGUUGUGCCACCACGGGCUAUCGUGCUCAAACACCGAUCGACCACUAUUGAAGCCUAAUAUUUCACAAUCACUUCCUCUUUAUCUCAUCGUCUCGGAUCUGGGCUCUAAUUUUCAAAGAUCAACCUCUAAUGACGUAUAUCUAAAGCUUAAACCAUAGCUUUUCCUUUAUCGUUUCAGCCUCUUCCACCAUUUGAUUUGACUAAAAUUUAGGUAUGUUAUUUCUUCCAUCCUCGUCUCUCUUUUCACUAUUUGGAUGGCCAAAAACUCGGAUGACUACCACUGACCAUGGUUAUUGCCAACGUUCCUGCCUUUGACGUUGACUUCCACAAUUGCGUCGCCUCCGUCUCUACUAUGUGUUGUCGCCAACACUGCCGAUCGAGCUACUCAAAGUCACUAGAAGCCGUUUCCCUAUUCCUUUUGUCUAUCGAUCCUUAAUGCUAGUACAAUGUCCAACAAUUAUUUGCUAUUGAUUUCUGUUUUGGUUGAAUUGUGGUAUUUAUAGCUAUGAAAUUGGGUGUUUUCAGGCACUAGUAAGCUAACUAGGAAUUGGCUGCUGAUUGUUUGAAAGUUGGGACUGUGUUUUUGGGUUUGUCUGAUCUAUUUAAAUAUUGAUUUUUUAGUUGUGCUUGUUUCUCUUUUUUGGUUUGUUGUCUAAUUUUGGUUACUUGUGAUGAUGAGAUUGCUGGGGUUUUAGUUUAGGUAGGGAUUGAUGUUGAAUGGUUGAUGAUGAUGACCAGAUAAGGGUAGGCUAUCACUGGCUACUACUGGAUAAUCGGCGACACUAGCAGUAUGGCAUAUGAAAGAUUUCUUUGCCAACUUAUUGUUGGAAUGUUUGUGUCCUUGUUGUGAAUUGCAAAGCCUACUUAUAGAUCAGAAGUCCUUCAGAGAUAGGAGUUUAAGAAAGGAU